This is a long non-coding RNA of Oncorhynchus masou masou (cherry salmon), 943 nucleotides long. RefSeq lists it as uncharacterized. The transcript is spliced from 3 exons. The record is from RefSeq and is a predicted model, not a curated record. NCBI's taxonomy places the organism in Eukaryota, Metazoa, Chordata, Actinopteri, Salmoniformes, Salmonidae.
CUCAACUAGAAAGUCGGUCGAAGAGAUGUGAACGAAGAAACCGAUUAAUACUGAAUAACUGAGUGAUUCUGAAUUCCUUCUAAUAUUACAUUCGGAAAGUUUAGAGAACGCGCAAUCAUCCUUUGUAUACCAAAUAGAACUUUUGACCACCGUGGAGACUUUGCUUUCGCCUUCAAGACGGACAAUUCAGCCAAGACCGAAGCGCAUAUGAAAGGGGGGCAUGGCUUAAAAGUUAUACACGGAGGGGAUUUUACUCCUGGAUAUGGAGCCUGGUUGUUAUUCGAUAUGAAACUAAUCAGAGUGCAGCUGGACAUACCACAUUAUGGAGUUUGUGUGAACGACGGCUUAUGAUCAAGCUUUGUGGACACAUGCUGAGAGUCGACAUACUGGCUGGAACUAUCAACACCAGAGCUGCUGACUGACAUGAGUGAGCUCAAAUAUUUGAUGUCUGAGGUCGGCAAACGGUUGGCUACGAUUGCUCCCAUGGCGGUCAUAUUUGGCGUAGUGUGUGUAAUGUGUGUGAAGUUUAAAUGGUUCAUACUGACAUGAUGUGCACAUGAAAUGUACUCUGUCUCUCUGAAAUUGUCACGCCCUGACCUUAGAGAUCCUAUUUAUGUCUCUAUUUUGGUUUGGUCAGGGUGUGAGUUGGGGUGGGUAUUCUAUGUUCUAUUAUUUGUAUUUCUAUGUUUUGGCCGGGUAGGGUUCUCAAUCAGGGACAGCUGUCUAUUGUUGUCUCUGAUUUAGAACCAUACUUAGGUAGCCCUUUUCCCACACCUGUCUUUGCUGGAAGUUGACUUUGUUUAUGGCACAUAGCUUUUAGCUUCACGGUUUGUUUUGUAGUGUUUAUUGUUUUGUUCGGUGUCUUUUCUAAAAAAUAAAAAAAAUGUACGCUCACCACGCUGCGCCUUGGUCCUCUUCUUUCAACGGCCGUGACAGAAAUGCA